Molecule: ribosomal RNA, 254 nt
Filed under: uncultured bacterium
Lineage: Bacteria
Description: partial 16S ribosomal RNA
Rfam family: Bacterial small subunit ribosomal RNA
Source: RNAcentral
UACGUAGGGGGCAAGCGUUGUCCGGAUUUAUUGGGCGUAAAGAGCUCGUAGGUGGUUUGGUAAGUCGGAUGUGAAAUCUCCAGGCUCAACCUGGAGGGGUCAUUCGAUACUGCCAUGACUAGAGGUCGGUAGGGGAGUGUGGAAUUCCUAGUGGAGCGGUGAAAUGCGUAGAUAUCGGGAGGAACACCAGUGGCGAAGGCGACUUCCUGGCCUGUUCUUGACGCUGAGGCGCGAAAGCUAGGGUAGCAAACGGG